This 301-nucleotide ribosomal RNA is filed under the name uncultured bacterium. RNAcentral describes it as "partial 16S ribosomal RNA". It matches the Rfam family "Bacterial small subunit ribosomal RNA", at positions 509 to 808 of the family's 1533-position model. The record is from RNAcentral.
CAGUCGCCGCGGGAAAACGGAGGGGGCUAGCGUUGUUCGGAAUUACUGGGCGUAAAGCGCACGUAGGCUGCUUUGUAAGUCAGAGGUGAAAGCCCGGGGCUCAACCCCGGAUGUGCCUUUGAGACUGCAGGGCUAGAACGUCGGAGAGGUGAGUGGAAUUCCGAGUGUAGAGGUGAAAUUCGUAGAUAUUCGGAAGAACACCAGUGGCGAAGGCGGCUCACUGGACGACUGUUGACGCUGAGGUGCGAAAGCGUGGGGAGCAAACAGGAUUAGAAUACCCCGGUAGUCCCUGUCUCUUAUU